GGGCUUAUAGUUUAGUGGUAAAACAACGCGUUUGCAUCGCGUAGUCGCCAGUUCGAUUCUGGCUAAGUCCA
RNAcentral lists this transfer RNA (71 nucleotides) under Candidatus Brennerbacteria bacterium RIFOXYB1_FULL_41_13. Its description in RNAcentral is "tRNA-Ala". It matches the Rfam family "tRNA". From Rfam's summary of the family: Transfer RNA (tRNA) molecules are approximately 80 nucleotides in length. The record is from RNAcentral. Lineage: Bacteria; Candidatus Brenneribacteriota. RNAcentral also lists the same sequence under 2 other names.